AGUAACGCGUGGGUAACCUGCCUCAUACAGGGGGAUAACAGUUAGAAAUGACUGCUAAUACCGCAUAAGCGCACAGUGCUGCAUAGCACAGUGUGAAAAACUCCGGUGGUAUGAGAUGGACCCGCGUCUGAUUAGGUAGUUGGUGAGGUAACGGCCCACCAAGCCGACGAUCAGUAGCCGACCUGAGAGGGUGACCGGCCACAUUGGGACUGAGACACGGCCCAAA
Molecule: ribosomal RNA, 226 nt
Filed under: Lacrimispora algidixylanolytica
Lineage: Bacteria; Bacillati; Bacillota; Clostridia; Lachnospirales; Lachnospiraceae
Description: [Clostridium] algidixylanolyticum partial 16S ribosomal RNA
Rfam family: Bacterial small subunit ribosomal RNA
Source: RNAcentral